CUUGUGGAGAGUAUACAACGAUGUGAGUAGUAUUUAAGUAAACUUAAAUACGAAAGCAUACUCGAUGAAACAAGAA
Molecule: non-coding RNA, 76 nt
Filed under: unclassified sequences
Description: RAGATH-18 RNA
Rfam family: RAGATH-18 RNA
About the family: Actinobacteria, Firmicutes, Fusobacteria, Thermotogae (1 example). Nearby to self-cleaving ribozyme genes
Source: Rfam by way of RNAcentral